CAGGGCUGACUGUCGUCGGCUGGAAUCGGUCGAUGCCUGCUGCCAGGGGCAGAGGCCGCACCAGGCCUGGGGGACGGCACGCGCUGGAUGGCCAGGCCUGGGCACACACUGCCUGGAGAGGGUCAGCCCCGCCUGGAGCCCGUGGUCUGCGCGUGGGGAAGGGAUGGUUCACCAGGGAAGCCCAGAGGCGAGUGGACUCCAGAUACUGCAGUCCCACCUGGUGAGGCCCGGAUCCCUCCUUUCUGGCUGGAAUUGUCCUGGGGCCAGAUGAGAUCCGAGGAAGGCUGUGAGCUGUGGUGGGCACCGUGCCAUCCAGAAACAGGGGAGCCGAGGGGGUCCAAUUGGGCUGGAAAGACCCCAGUCUGUUUGGGUCUGAGGCCUCACCUGUAACAGGUCCUCCAACUGCAAGAAGGGGUGAUGCCCUCAAGUUGGCGACCAAGGGGUCACUUCUGGAGAAAGCCCAGAGCUGCAGGAAGUGGCCAGACACCUGCUCCACUGUUGCCAG
Long non-coding RNA from Globicephala melas (long-finned pilot whale), 505 nucleotides. RefSeq lists it as uncharacterized. The record is from RefSeq and is a predicted model, not a curated record. Lineage: Eukaryota; Metazoa; Chordata; Mammalia; Artiodactyla; Delphinidae.